UCUACCGUGCUACUCCAAAGGCUCUCUAGGCCUCACUAUCAGCCGACCUUCUACAUUGAUCAACUAUUCUCUGAACUCCUUUCGAACAUCGUCAAUAUCCGAGCUUCUUCGACAAUGAGGUUUCUAUAGUAAUCGGACUCCAUCCGAGUUUCUACGGUGGUCGACCACCUUCAGGAUUCUAACUGGGCACCUGUGAGAGCCGAACUUCUACUACGAGCAGGUCUACUCCGAGCUCCUACAGUGAGCGGUCUGCUCCAAACUUCUACUACGAGCAGAUCUACUCCGAACACCUACAGCGAGCGGUCUGCUCCGAACUUCUACUACGAGUGGUCUACUCCGAACUCCUACAGUGAGCGGUUUGCUCCGAACUUCUGCUACGAGCGGUCUACUCCGAACUCCUACAGUGGGCGGUCUACUCUAGAUCUCUACUGUAAGCAAAUUCUAUUCGAGCCCCUACUGUAAACAUGUCUCUUCCGAACUUCCAUUACAGGUAGACUUCAACCGAGCUUCUUCGUAGCUGGAUCCCAGACGAGCUUCUACAGCAGGACAGGACCCACCAGCUAGAUCGCUACUCUGAGCUCCCACGACAAUCGAUCUUCGAUCGAGCUUCUACAAUAAGCGGUCCUCUUUCAGCCUUCUGCAAGAACCAGACCAUGACCGAACUUCCAUAGUGGAUGGAUAUCGGAUGAGCUUCUACGAUGGACGGACUCCGAUAGCUGGAUUCUUACAAUGAUCGAUUGCCUCCAACAUCUGCCGAACCUCCCCAGUGCCAUCCGAAGUCCAUCGCCGGCCAACCCUCCACCAGAUCCUUCAUGAAAUCAAACUUCUCUGACGGAUCAUCUUCAGAUGAGCUUCCACAUCAGUCGAAUCCCAGACAGACUUCUCUAGCAUUCAGACUCCUACCGGGCUUCACCAACAGAAAGUCUCCAUCUGAGCUUCUACAGCAGAUGACUCCCACCUGUAGUAUCAGCGCCUAAGGUAUCUAACAAUAGUAGACUCGUCAGCAGCUUCGAAGACAUCCAAGAUUCUCCCAGAUCAAUGGGAUAGAGAGCCAUUUUGCUCCAUCAGAUGUCCCAGCCGAGCUCCAGCCAAC
This 1093-nucleotide long non-coding RNA is filed under the name Elaeis guineensis (African oil palm). RNAcentral describes it as "long non-coding RNA (EGUI_LNC066468)". Lineage: Eukaryota; Viridiplantae; Streptophyta; Magnoliopsida; Arecales; Arecaceae. The record is from RNAcentral.